AUUGAACGCUGGCGGCAGGCCUAACACAUGCAAGUCGAGCGAGCGGCGGACGGGUGAGUAAUGUCUGGGAAACUGCCUGAUGGAGGGGGAUAACUACUGGAAACGGUAGCUAAUACUGCAUACCAUCAGAUGUGCCCAGGUGGGAUUAGCUAGUAGGUGGGGUAACGGCUCACCUAGGCGACGAUCCCUAGCUGGUCUGAGAGGAUGACCAGCAACACUGGAACUAAGAGACGGUCAAGACUCCUACGUGAGGCAGCAGUGGGGAAUAUUGCACAAUGGGCGGAAGCCUGAUGCAGCCAUGCAGCGUGUGUGAAAAAGGCCGUCGGGUUGGAAAGAACUUUCAGCGGGGAGGCGUUACCGGCAGAAGAAGCACCGGCUAACUCCGUGCCAGCAGCCACGGUAAUUC
This 406-nucleotide ribosomal RNA is filed under the name uncultured bacterium. Its description in RNAcentral is "partial 16S ribosomal RNA". It matches the Rfam family "Bacterial small subunit ribosomal RNA", at positions 30 to 526 of the family's 1533-position model. The record is from RNAcentral.